UUUACAAACGUAAAGGAAUUCCGUAAAAGUGAAUAAAACAAACGUGUUCUGGAGCAGUGAUUAAAUUAGAUAAUAGUACUUGGUCAAGAGAGGAUUACAGUUCUUCCCAGACGAUAUACAAUUGUUUGGAUCUCGCAUAUGUUUUUAUUAAAACCAUUUAUUGGAGUAUACAUUAUACGUGUUAACAUACUGAUACCUGUACAUAAGUGAUCGAGCCAAAAGCAGUAUUAUACAAGAACUCUAUACCCUUCAUUACUGUGUAAGCGUAUAUUGCAUAUUGUAAAUUUCGUAUAAAAUGGUGUACAUUCGUGUUAUUGGCUCUAUUGUGGAACCUUUGUUUCCUGUAUGUUUGAUACACAUUUCUCUCAGAUUCACAGGCUUCCUUUGCCUGAAAAACGCGAAACCUUUUCCUUCAAGAACGUGUCCUAAUACCCUCAAGGCUGGAUAGACCAUUUUACGAAAAAUUUACGCACCUUGCAAAGUUUGUUUUCGUGCACAGAAAGAUAUAUCAUGCAAAAUGGAAAUCACAUGGAUCAAAGUUGUGACAAGCAGCAGUGUUUGGAGCAGUCUUUCAGGUUUCACCAGCUAUGCUCUACUCCAAGGAAGUUAAAACAAGACCGAACAUACAAGUUUGCCGACAGUCAGUGAGAGGAAAAAAUGGACGAAUGCCCAAAGAUUGAAGUGAUGUGAAAGCCAAAUGUCGUUGCUCCUCAAUUUACUUGAGCCCUGAUUUACCAGAAGCAAGUGGUGUUGCAAAAUGACCAAUGUAAGGUUUCUUCGACCACUUAAAGCACGAUACCAAGAAACACGAUCACCUUAAGCCUGGGCUAGAGAAAAGUAUAAAUUUUGGGAAGAAAGCAAAAUUGGAUCGACCCCCAAAUCAGAGAAUAAAAAAAAUGGGGUUCGAUUCUUUGACCAUUUCCCCUCUACCCACCUGCCUCUCUGAGGCAUUUUCUAAAAGUUAAAUACCUUAGAGGGAAACCAAAAACGGUUAACCUUUCAUCAUGCCCUACUACACCCGACCUUUUCUGUCUACCUUUUGAUACAAAUGUCCUUUGAUAUGAUCAACUCAUAUUACAGUACAGUGAUAUUACAAUACAAUCUUCUAAUAUAUUACACUAUAUAUUAUAAUACUAUAUAUUACUUCCUGAUUACAAUCUUUUAAUACAGUUGUUAAUACAGUGUUUUUUUUUCAUCCAUCCAACCUCCCCCACCGCACCCACCUCUCACAGGCAGUUUUAUAAAGUACUUGCAAAAGUUGUCUACUUUGUGGUGUUAAUAUUUAUUUCAAACGCAUGCGUUUGUGUAACCAAACGUCUGUCUUAAUACACAUGCGUAUUACGAAGAUUUCGUUACCACUAUACAAAACUAUUUUUAUUAGGACUGAAAAAAAACUCGUUAUUGGAGCUGGUGUGGUGGUGGGUUGUAAGACCUCCAAUUUAAGCCUUCUUGUCGAGGAUGAUCUUGGUUUUUGAGAUGGCCAUUAUUUCAUGAAACCUGUGAAGAGAUGGAGAAUAAAUUCGAAUAAGACAAAAUGUAA
This is a long non-coding RNA of Pocillopora damicornis (cauliflower coral), 1540 nucleotides long. NCBI's taxonomy places the organism in Eukaryota, Metazoa, Cnidaria, Anthozoa, Scleractinia, Pocilloporidae. The record is from RefSeq and is a predicted model, not a curated record.